CCUACGGGCGGCAGCAGUGAGGAAUAUUGGUCAAUGGACGAGAGUCUGAACCAGCCAAGUAGCGUGAAGGAUGACUGCCCUAUGUGUUGUAAACUUCUUUUAUAUGGGAAUAAAAUGUUCCACGUGUGGGAUUUUGUAUGUACCAUAUGAAUAAGGAUCGGCUAACUCCGUGCCAGCAGCCGAGGUAAUACGGAGGGUCCGAGCGUUAUCCGGAUUUAUUGGGUUUAACGGGAGAGUAGGUGGAUUGUUAAGUCAGUUGAUACAGUUUGCGGGUCAAACGUAAAAUUGCAGUUGAAACUGGCAGUCGUGAGUACAGUAGAGGUGGGCGGAAGUCGUGGUG
Molecule: ribosomal RNA, 340 nt
Filed under: uncultured bacterium
Lineage: Bacteria
Description: partial 16S ribosomal RNA
Rfam family: Bacterial small subunit ribosomal RNA
Source: RNAcentral